Long non-coding RNA from Gallus gallus (chicken), 627 nucleotides. The record is from Ensembl. NCBI's taxonomy places the organism in Eukaryota, Metazoa, Chordata, Aves, Galliformes, Phasianidae.
UGUUAGCAGCCAGGGGAGUAGCUUCUCUCUAGAGGCUGAAUUAUUUUCGAGCUGUCACCAGUCAUGGGAGAAAGAUACCCUUUUCAAGAUGCUGUUGCUCUUUCUGUGAAGAGAAUAGAAAUGAUAGCAGAAAUAUACAGCUAAAGAAAAAGAUUUCUCUGUGGCUGGAGAACAACUAUGUAAAUGAGAGGUCAUAUCCACAGCUUAGUCUAUUUUUGUAUGACAUCCUGCAUACUGGAAUUCAGGGAGAAGAGUUUCGGAGCAUUAUGCAAUUAUGCUCUAUAUUGUGUCAUGCCAAAGAGUGAAGUGAAUUUUGUGGUUGUAAUUUUGAUGGCCUUAUCUGUUCCCUCCAUGCUUGCCUUGUCCAAUGCUCCCUGUAGUUUGAAAUGUCCGCUCUGUCAGUCAAUGUCUACCGGCACUGUUACUUUGCAACUGAAAGAUAGUAAAGUCCUACAUUAAAGAGCAAAUACUGUAAUGUUGUGAUGAAUGAUCCAAGGGAAAAAAAUAAAAGGCUAUUUAGAGCAUGGGAUAAUAUGGCUACUAAGGAACAAAUUCAUGAAAUGUUCUUGAUUCAAAUGGGAAUGGUGAAGGGAUAAUUUGUAUAUAUCAUUUUCUUUGAAUUAUGGC